CAAUAGCGUAUAUUAAAGUUGUUGCAGUUAAAAAGCUCGUAGUUGGAUUUGUGGCGUACGGUGUGUUCCGGGCACUUGUUGUCUGAGUAACCUGCUGUUGCCAUCCUUGGGUGGAACCUGUGUGGCAUUAGGUUGUCGUGCAGGGGAUGCCCAUCAUUUACUGUGAAAAAAUUAGAGUGUUCAAAGCAGGCUUAUGCCGUUGGAUAUAUUAGCAUGGAAUAAUGAGAUAGGACUUUUUUGCUAUUUUGUUGGUUUGCGCAAAGAGGUAAUGAUUAAUAGGGACAGUUGGGGGUAUUCGUAUUCCAUUGUCAGAGGUGAAAUUCUUGGAUUUUUGGAAGACGAACUACUGCGAAAGCAUUUACCAAGGAUGUUUUCAUUAA
This 380-nucleotide ribosomal RNA is filed under the name uncultured eukaryote. RNAcentral's name for it is "partial 18S ribosomal RNA". It matches the Rfam family "Eukaryotic small subunit ribosomal RNA", at positions 592 to 976 of the family's 1831-position model. The record is from RNAcentral.